Molecule: long non-coding RNA, 2260 nt
Organism: Homo sapiens (human)
Lineage: Eukaryota; Metazoa; Chordata; Mammalia; Primates; Hominidae
Source: Ensembl
AUGGGGCUUUUUAUUAUUAUUCGGGCGGGAAGCGAAAGGGUUUAAAAAAAAACCAACCAACAAAAUGGCGACGGACCGACCCGGUCGCUAUAGCAACUGUCAAUCAAAACGCAAAACCCCGGCUGACGUGCUGACGUCCUCCUCCCGCCCCCCAGCCCCGAGCCGGCGGGCGGGGCCUGUUGCUCAGGUUCCAGGAUUCUACCCUGAGCACAGGAAACAACUAGAGUCCAUCCCCCACCGCGCCUCCGCACUACUCCCCGGGUAUUAAAAAUUCUGAGCCAGUCACAGACCUUUAACAAGGUCAAGAGCACUAAAUGCCUUAUCUUUAUGAGGGCAACACAUUCCUAAAUUGACAUGAAAGACCUGGCUGUGUUUGGCCGGCACUGGUGUUUAUGGAGACACAACUGCCAUUCAAGCAUGCGAGGAAUGAUACGUCAUACCAAGACCGUCCUACAAGGAUCCCUAAGCAGUGCAUGGAUGGUGGAGAAGGGAGUUGCCCCAGGGUGAAGGCUUCCCUGGGCUCUGACAGGGGUUACUGGAUGACUCUGCAAAUAUUAAAUAUAGCUGCAUGAAUCACACUACAAAAUUCCAGGCCUGAAAUCUGGUGUCAGGCAUAACAAUUUGUUCUCCCUCCCUUGCUCAUGAAUAGCAAAGAAUCAAUUGAAGAAAUUUUGGUCUGUUUAGAGAGCACUCGUGUUUUGUUCCUCCCUCUGGAACACACGUUCUGCAUUUGACAUGACACAUGCUUCUCAAGUGUUAUUUUGUGUUUAUUAAUCUUUGAACUGAAUUGCCAGUCCUUCAACUAGAAAGACAUUUUCCCAGAACCCUCCUGACUCAUGCUAAGGGUACACAACAGCUGAUAAACUCCAGUGACCUCAGAGGAGACAGAUGGGCCAUGUGGCUUCUAACACCCACGUGGCUGUCUGGACCAUGGAUGACAGCAUAGCCCAGGUUAAGCUGGUUGGCAGAAAUGCUCAGGACUUUUCCACAUUUACCAAGCUGAAAAUAGUGGUUAUGUCACCUGCUCUUCCAUUCUGUCACAUCACUUUCCGUAUUAUCACCUUCUUUACCACUAUCCCUCCUUCCUUGCGUGCGUCCGUGCAUAGUUUUCCUUAUAAUUACAAAAUAAUAUGUGCUCAUUGUAAUAGUAACAAGAGCUAACAUUUAUUGAUUGCUUAUAUGGUGAACUCUGCUAAAAGCUUAAAAGUAUGAAUUCGUUCAUCUUCAGCAAUUCUGUGGGAUAGGUAUUUUGAUCUCCAUGUUGCAAAUAAGAAAAGCUUGACCAUGAAGGGCUCAGAAAGUUUAUCACCCAACCAUCCUUUCUGAAAAUAUUUCCUUCGGGGGGGAAAAAGUAAUUCAAGAAAGAUAAUUAAAUUCAAAACAUGAAAAAGUGGUAACAAAUAUAAAUAAACUGAUAAAAUUUAUACUGAGAUCUUAAGAUUAAGACAUUUAAGAAACUAUUUUAAAGAGAAAGAGAAAUGUAGAAAGAAUUUUAUUGCUCAAUUGGAACUGAAAUUUUAGAUUAUUCCUACAAAGCAUGAGAUGUUUAAGAUCUUAUCUUAUUCCAGAGGGAAAAAUUAUGGAUACUGAUUCAUUCUAAAUGUUUAUGGAGAAAGAUGUUUAAAAGGUCUUAUUAAAUUAAAGGCCAUCUCCUCUAAACUGCCAAGGUCAUCGAAACAAAGAAACUGUCAUAGCCAACAAGAACCUAAGGGAGACAGGAGGCUGAUGUCGUGUGGUAUGUUGACACAGAUUGUAAAAUUUUGACAAAAACCUGGGAAAUGUGCAUAAACUACAGAUUUUAGCUAAUAAAAUGUGUCACUAUUGGUUCAUUAAUUUUGGCAAGCAUACCAUAUCCAUGGAAGCUAUGAAUACUAAAGGAAACUGGGUGUACUAGGUGUAGAGUAAACAGAAACUCUCUGUACUGCCUACAGCACUUUCCUUUUUCUUUUUAGAAUCUAAGUCCUAAAAACAUUACUCUAAAGUAAAAAUAUUUAUUCUAAAUAAUUCUAAGUUAAUUCUAAUUUAAAAUUAAUUUAUUCUAAAAUAUAAAGUUUAUUUUUAAAAAUAGGAGCAACCUCAUAGGGCUGUCGUAAGGAUUAAAUGAGAUCAUCAAUAUAAAAAGGUCUGCAUAGGGGCUGGAACAUAGCAGGUGUUCAAGGAACAUGAGCCUUUACCUGAAAAUAGACAAAUAGGAAGAAAGCCCAGCUCCGUGGGGUGCACCUGUAGUCUCAGCUACUCUGGAGGCUGACGGAGUAGGAUC